Molecule: long non-coding RNA, 466 nt
Organism: Artibeus jamaicensis (Jamaican fruit-eating bat)
Lineage: Eukaryota; Metazoa; Chordata; Mammalia; Chiroptera; Phyllostomidae
Exons: 2
Source: RefSeq, a predicted model, not a curated record
UAAAGUAAGUGUUUUAAUCUAAUUUAGAAAAGUGACAGAGUUGAAAGUGAUAUUGGGAAAUAACAAUAAUAAGCAUUUAAAAAACAUGGAGCCCACAAGACUGGCAUGAUUACUUUACACUGAAGCAUGUGAACAAACAGUAGCCAAAGACAGAGCAUCUAAACUUAAGCAGAGCCUUGCAAAAAUACAGCCGCCACUGACUUCCCUCAGAAGGUGGGAGACACAGCACUGGGAGGUGUGAAUUCAGUUGCCAUCGGUCUCCCUCUUUUGGAGCUUCCAGCCAGGAAGGAUACCACACAGGAUCAUCACCAUGAAAAGCCUUAAUGGAACCUUCUGUGCUUUCCUACUGAAACCCUAAAACUAGCCCCUUCUGUUAGCUUGGUACAUAAGACUGUACUCCUGGCAGGUCAGGGAACGACUCCCUGUAGAGUGCUUUUGCAUGUGAAAUAAACUUUUCUCUUGUUAA